CCUACGGGAGGCAGCAGUGAGGAAUAUUGGUCAGUGGGCGAGAGCCUGAACCAGCCAAGUCGCGUGAGGGAAGACGGUCCUAUGGGUUGUAAACCUCUUUUGUCGGGGAGCAAGACCCGCCUCGUGCAGGCGGAGCGAGAGUACCCGAAGAAAAAGCAUCGGCUAACUCCGUGCCAGCAGCCGCGGUAAUACGGAGGAUGCGAGCGUUAUCCGGAUUUAUUGGGUUUAAAGGGUGCGCAGGCGGACCAUCAAGUCAGCGGUAAAAUCG
Molecule: ribosomal RNA, 268 nt
Filed under: uncultured bacterium
Lineage: Bacteria
Description: partial 16S ribosomal RNA
Rfam family: Bacterial small subunit ribosomal RNA
Source: RNAcentral